UACGGAGGGUGCGAGCGUUGUCCGGAAUCACUGGGCGUAAAGGGCGCGUAGGCGGCGCACCAAGUCAGGCGUGAAAGCCCUGGGCUCAACCCGGGAAUUGCGCUUGAGACUGGUGUGCUUGAGUACGGGAGAGGAUAGUGGAAUUCCCAGUGUAGAGGUGAAAUUCGUAGAUAUUGGGAAGAACACCGGUGGCGAAGGCGGCUAUCUGGACCGUAACUGACGCUGAGGCGCGAAAGCGUGGGGAGCAAACAGG
Molecule: ribosomal RNA, 253 nt
Filed under: uncultured bacterium
Lineage: Bacteria
Description: partial 16S ribosomal RNA
Rfam family: Bacterial small subunit ribosomal RNA
Source: RNAcentral